RNAcentral lists this ribosomal RNA (497 nucleotides) under uncultured bacterium. RNAcentral describes it as "partial 16S ribosomal RNA". It matches the Rfam family "Bacterial small subunit ribosomal RNA", at positions 28 to 507 of the family's 1533-position model. The record is from RNAcentral.
GAUGAACGCUGGCGGCGUGCCUAAUACAUGCAAGUCGAGCGAACGGACGAGAAGCUUGCUUUUCUGAUGUUAGCGGCGGACGGGUGAGUAACACGUGGAUAACCUACCUAUAAGACUGGGAUAACUUCGGGAAACCGGAGCUAAUACCGGAUAAUAUUUUGAACCGCAUGGUUCAAAAGUGAAAGACGGUCUUGCUGUCACUUAUAGAUGGAUCCGCGCUGCAUUAGCUAGUUGGUAAGGUAACGGCUUACCAAGGCAACGAUGCAUAGCCGACCUGAGAGGGUGAUCGGCCACACUGGAACUGAGACACGGUCCAGACUCCUACGGGAGGCAGCAGUGGGGAAUCUUCCGCAAUGGGCGAAAGCCUGACGGAGCAACACCGCGUGAGUGAUGAAGGUCUUCGGAUCGUAAAACUCUGUUAUUAGGGAAGAACAUAUGUGUAAGUAACUGUGCACAUCUUGACGGUACCUAAUCAGAAAGCCACGGCUAACUACGUG